CCUACGGGAGGCAGCAGUGGGGAAUAUUGCACAAUGGGGGAAACCCUGAUGCAGCGACGCCGCGUGAGUGAAGAAGUAAUUCGUUAUGUAAAGCUCUAUCAGCAGGGAAGAAAAGUACGGUAACUGAGUAAGAAGCCCCUGCUAACUCCGUGCCAGCAGCCGCGGUAAUACGUAGGGGGCAAGCGUUAUCCGGAUUUACUGGGGGGAAAGGGAGCGUAGACGGCAGUGCAAGUCUGGAGUGAAAGGCGGGGGCUCAACCCCCGGACUGCGCUGGAAACUGUACGGCUGGAGUGCAGGAGAGGGAAGUGGAAUUCCUAGUGUAGCGGUGAAAUGCGUAGAUAUUAGGAGGAACACCAGUGGCGAAGGCGGCUUACUGGACUGUAACUGACGUUGAGGCUCGAAAGCGUGGGGAGCAAACAGGAUUAGAUACCCGUGUAGUC
RNAcentral lists this ribosomal RNA (440 nucleotides) under uncultured bacterium. Its description in RNAcentral is "partial 16S ribosomal RNA". It matches the Rfam family "Bacterial small subunit ribosomal RNA", at positions 338 to 795 of the family's 1533-position model. The record is from RNAcentral.